UUUCCGGUUGAUCCCGCCGGACCUGACUGCUAUCGGAUUGAUACUAAGCCAUGCGAGUCUUUGUAGUAAUACAAGGCAUACGGCUCAGUAACGCGUAGUCAACCUACCCUAUGGACAAGAAUAAUCUCGGGAAACUGAGCAUAAUUCUUGAUAGAUCAUAAUGCCUGGAAUGGUUUAUGGUUAAAAUGAUUCGUCGCCAUAGGAUGGACUGCGGCUUAUCAGCUUGUUGGUGAGGUAAUGGCCCACCAAGGCGAUUACAGGUACGGGCUCUGAGAGGAGAAGCCCGGAGAUGGGUACUGAGACAAGGACCCAGGCCCUAUGGGGCGCAGCAGGCGAGAAAACUUUGCAAUGUGCGAAAGCACGACAAGGUUAGUCCGAGUGAUUUCUGCCAAAGAGAUCUUUUGCUAGUUAUAAAACCACUAGUGAAUAAGGGGUGGGCAAGUUCUGGUGUCAGCCGCCGCGGUAAAACCAGCACCUCAAGUGGUCAGGAUGAUUAUUGGGCCUAAAGCAUCCGUAGCCGGCUCUGUAAGUUNUCGGUUAAAUCUAUACGCUCAACGUAUGGGCUGCCGAAAAUACUGUAGAGAUAGGGAGUGGGAGAGGUAGACGGUACUCGGUAGGAAGGGGNAAAAUCCUUUGAUCUAUCGAUGACCACCUGUGGCGAAGGCGGUCUACCAGAACACGUUCGACGGUGAGGGAUGAAAACUGGGGGA
Molecule: ribosomal RNA, 710 nt
Filed under: uncultured archaeon
Lineage: Archaea
Description: bacterial SSU rRNA
Rfam family: Archaeal small subunit ribosomal RNA
Source: RNAcentral